This is a long non-coding RNA of Bombyx mori (domestic silkworm), 483 nucleotides long. RefSeq lists it as uncharacterized. The record is from RefSeq and is a predicted model, not a curated record. The transcript is spliced from 2 exons. Lineage: Eukaryota; Metazoa; Arthropoda; Insecta; Lepidoptera; Bombycidae.
GGUUCAGGGGCCGCGCUAGUUCCGCCCAUUAUGAGGACGAGCAUCGCCAGCACCACGCAGAAGAAACUGAAUACCUUCAUUGUUAGUUUAUGUAUUGGUUGUAGUGACCAGUAGAAGAACUCAACGAUGAUUGAUGGACUUCUCAAUCAAUAAGGAGUAUUUAUAGUCGCGUAUGAAGAUGUAGUCGGAUCUGUUCCCGAUCGGAGUCUAUUUUUUGGCGAAGAUAUUUCGUACACGGGCUUGUAGCGUGCAACAUUGGCAUAUCGGGUCGCACUCGGGCGUCAUCGGGCGCGAUCGGAAUUCCCGAACGCACAGGUGUCCCGUGACGUCACAGCAACAAGAUUCGCGCGCCGAUUUAACUUCAAUUUAGAAUCGAAAUUUUAGUUUAAUUUGUAUCGGCUGGUGCCUAGCGUCGCUUAUUCUUUUUUAGUUUAUACUUUAAUAUUGUACUCAUAUAUCUGAACAUUAUAGAUAUUAUUGAAA